ACACGACUACAUUAGAUACCCGUGUAGUCCCAGCCCUAAACGAUGCGCGUUAGGUGUAUCGGUGACCACGAGUCACCGAGGUGCCGAAGGGAAACCGUGAAACGUGCCGCCUGGGAAGUACGGUCGCAAGGCUGAAACUUAAAGGAAUUGGCGGGGAGCACCACAACGGGUGGAGCCUGCGGUUUAAUUGGACUCAACGCCGGGAAGCUUACCGGAUAAGACAGCGGAAUGAUUGCCGGGCUGAAGACCCUGCAUGACCAGCUG
Molecule: ribosomal RNA, 264 nt
Filed under: uncultured archaeon
Lineage: Archaea
Description: partial 16S ribosomal RNA
Rfam family: Archaeal small subunit ribosomal RNA
Source: RNAcentral